AGCAGCCGCGGUAAUUCCAGCUCCAAUAGCGUAUAUUAAAGUUGUUGCAGUUAAAAAGCUCGUAGUUGAACUUCGGGGUUUACCCAUUGGUCAGGCUUAAUUGUCUGUACUGGUGAGAUAAAUCUCUACCUUCUGAGGAACUUUCAUGUCAUUAAUUUGGUGUGAUUGGAAAUCAGGACUGUUACUUUGAAAAAAUUAGAGUGUUUAAAGCAGGCUAACGUCUGAAUACAUUAGCAUGGAAUAAUGAAAUAGGACGGACUGAUUCUAUUUCGUUGGUUUCUAGGAUCACCGUAAUGAUUAAUAGGGAUAGUUGGGGGCAUUAGUAUUCAAUUGUCAGAGGUGAAAUUCUUGGAUUUAUUGAAGACUAACUACUGCGAAAGCAUUUGCCAAGGAUGUUUUCAUUAAUCAAGAACGAAAGUUAGGGGAUCGAAGACGAUCAGAUACCGUCGUAGUCUUAACCAUAAACUAUGCCGACUAGGGAUCGGACGAAGUUAAUUUUAUAAUGACGCGUUCGGCGCCU
Molecule: ribosomal RNA, 520 nt
Filed under: uncultured Diversispora
Lineage: Eukaryota; Fungi; Glomeromycota; Glomeromycetes; Diversisporales; Diversisporaceae
Description: SSU rRNA
Rfam family: Eukaryotic small subunit ribosomal RNA
Source: RNAcentral